UACGAAGGGGGCAAGCGUUGUUCGGAAUUACUGGGUGUAAAGCGCACGUAGGCGGAUUUGUUAGUCAGGGGUGAAAUCCCGGGGCUCAACCAUGGAACUGCCUUUGAUACUGCAAGGCUCGAGUCCGGAAGAGGUGAGUGGAAUGCCGAGUGUAGAGGUGAAAUUCGUAGAUAUUAGGAGGAACACCAGUGGCGAAGGCGGCUCUCUGGGCCGGUACUGACGCUGAGGGGCGAAAGCGUGGGGAGCAAACAGG
Molecule: ribosomal RNA, 253 nt
Filed under: uncultured bacterium
Lineage: Bacteria
Description: partial 16S ribosomal RNA
Rfam family: Bacterial small subunit ribosomal RNA
Source: RNAcentral